UGGGGAAUAUUGGACAAUGGGCGAAAGCCUGAUCCAGCCAUGCCGCGUGUGUGAAGAAGGUCUUCGGAUUGUAAAGCACUUUAAGUUGGGCGGAAGGGCAGUAAGCGAAUACCUUGCUGUUUUGACGUUACCGACAGAAUAAGCACCGGCUAACUCUGUGCCAGCAGCCGCGGUAAUACAGAGGGUGCAAGCGUUAAUCGGAAUUACUGGGCGUACAGCGCUCGUAGGUGGUUCGUUAAGUUGAAUGUGAAAGCCCCGGGCUCAACCUGGGAACUGGAUCCAAAACUGGCGAGCUAGAGUAGGGCAGAGGGUGGUGGGAUUUCCUGUGGAGCGGUGAAAUGCGUAGAUAUAGGAAGGAACACCAGUGGCGAAGGCGACCACCAGGGCUCAUACUGAAACUGAGGUGCGAAAGCGUGGGGAGCAAACAGG
This 429-nucleotide ribosomal RNA is filed under the name Pseudomonadota bacterium. Its description in RNAcentral is "Proteobacteria bacterium partial 16S ribosomal RNA". It matches the Rfam family "Bacterial small subunit ribosomal RNA", at positions 355 to 776 of the family's 1533-position model. The record is from RNAcentral. Lineage: Bacteria; Pseudomonadati; Pseudomonadota.